GUGUCAGCCGCCGCGGUAAUACGUAGGAGACGAGCGUUAUCCGGAUUUACUGGGCGUAAAGAGGGCGUAGGCGGUCUUUCAAGUCGGAUGUGAAAUCUCCCGGCUUAACUGGGAGGGGUCAUUCGAUACUGUUGGGCUAGAGGGCAGCAGAGGGAGGUGGAAUUCCCGGUGUAGUGGUGAAAUGCGUAGAUAUCGGGAGGAACACCAGUGGCGAAGGCGGCCUCCUGGGCUGUUUCUGACGCUGAGGCCCAAAAGCGUGGGGAGCGAACAGGAUUAGAUACCCUGGUAGUCCACGCUGUAAACUAUGGACACUAGGUAUGGGGAGUAUCGACCCUCUCCGUGCCGAAGCUAACGCUUUAAGUGUCCCGCCUGGGGACUACGGCCGCAAGGCUAAAACUUAAAUGAAUUGACGGGG
RNAcentral lists this ribosomal RNA (415 nucleotides) under uncultured prokaryote. RNAcentral's name for it is "bacterial SSU rRNA". It matches the Rfam family "Bacterial small subunit ribosomal RNA", at positions 505 to 918 of the family's 1533-position model. The record is from RNAcentral.